RNAcentral lists this long non-coding RNA (2587 nucleotides) under Populus tremula. RNAcentral's name for it is "long non-coding RNA (PTRE_LNC000415)". The record is from RNAcentral. Lineage: Eukaryota; Viridiplantae; Streptophyta; Magnoliopsida; Malpighiales; Salicaceae.
UGCCUUUUACUGCAGCCAUGACUUCUCAUGUUCUUUACUUAUGAUCAUAUGGUCAAAGGGGAAUCCUAGCCUCACCGUGUUCCUUUUAUUGAAAGGCGUUGGAAAUUAAGAAUAUGGUCACUAUUUCUUUAGUGUUAUUGUUUUUUCAUGAUCUUCAUCCUUGUUUUCCUAUAAAAAGAAAGGUAAUGCACUGAGGCUAAGAUGAUAUUUUUUACGGAAAGUUUCAUACAUGUUGUUUUAAGGAACAAAUUGAUUGGUUAUUUGGCAAGGCAAUGAGGUGUUCUGUGCAAAAAGAAUUGAUGGUGUAUAAAGUCCCUCUGUGUUCUGAUUUUUCCUGUUCUGGUCCCUUUAAAUAAUUGUUUUGCACAGAAUGCCUUUUACUGAAGCCAUGACUACUCAUGUUCUUUACUUAUGAUCAUAUGGUCAAAAGGGAAUCCUAGCCUCACCGUGUUCCUUUUAUUGAAAUGCGUUGGAAAUUAUGAAUAUGGUCACUAUUUCUUUAGUGUUCUUGUUUUUUCAUGAUCUUCAUCCUUCUUUUCCUAUAAAAAGAAAGGUAAUGCACUGAGGUUAAGAUGAUUUUUUUACGGAAAGUUUCAUACAUAUUGUUUUAAGGGACAAAUUGAUUGGUUAUUUGGCAAGGCAAUGAGGUGUUCUGUGCAAAAAGAAUUGAUGGCAUAUAAAGUCCCUCUGUUUUCUGAUUUUUCCUGUUCUGGUCCCUUUAAAUAAUUGUUUUGCACAGAAUGCCUUUUACUGCAGCCAUGACUUCUCAUGUUCUUUACUUAUGAUCAUAUGGUCAAAGGGGAAUCCUAGCCUCACCGUGUUCCUUUUAUUGAAACGCGUUGGAAAUUAAGAAUAUGGUCACUAUUUCUUUAAUGUUAUUGUUUUUUCAUGAUCUUCAUCCUUGUUUUCCUAUAAAAAGAAAGGUAAUGCACUGAGGCUAAGAUGAUUUUUUUACGGAAAGUUUCAUACAUGUUGUUUUAAGGAACAAAUUGAUUGGUUAUUUGGCAAGGCAAUGAGGUGUUCUGUGCAAAAAGAAUUGAUGGUGUAUAAAGUCCCUCUGUGUUCUGAUUUUUCCUGUUCUGGUCCCUUUAAAUAAUUGUUUUGCACAGAAUGCCUUUUACUGAAGCCAUGACUACUCAUGUUUUUUACUUAUGAUCAUAUGGUCAAAAGGGAAUCCUAGCCUCACCGUGUUCCUUUUAUUGAAAUGCGUUGGAAAUUAUGAAUAUGGUCACUAUUUCUUUAGUGUUCUUGUUUUUUCAUGAUCUUCAUCCUUCUUUUCCUAUAAAAAGAAAGGUAAUGCACUGAGGUUAAGAUGAUUUGUUUUACGGAAAGUUUCAUACAUAUUGUUUUAAGGGACAAAUUGAUUGGUUAUUUGGCAAGGCAAUGAGGUGUUCUGUGCAAAAAGAAUUGAUGGCAUAUAAAGUCCCUCUGUUUUCUGAUUUUUCCUGUUCUGGUCCCUUUAAAUAAUUGUUUUGCACAGAAUGCCUUUUACUGCAGCCAUGACUUCUCUUCUUUACUUAUGAUCAUAUGGUCAAGGGGAUCCUAGCCUCACCGUGUUCCUUUUAUUGAAACGCGUUGGAAAUUAAGAAUAUGGUCACUAUUUCUUUAAUGUUAUUGUUUUUUCAUGAUCUUCAUCCUUGUUUUCCUAUAAAAAGAAAGGUAAUGCACUGAGGCUAAGAUGAUAUUUUUUACGGAAAGUUUCAUACAUGUUGUUUUAAGGAACAAAUUGAUUGGUUAUUUGGCAAGGCAAUGAGGUGUUCUGUGCAAAAAGAAUUGAUGGUGUAUAAAGUCCCUCUGUGUUCUGAUUUUUCCUGUUCUUGUCCCUUUAAAUAAUUGUUUUGCACAGAAUGCCUUUUAUUGCAGCCAUGAUUUCUCAUAUUUUUUACUUAUGAUCAUAUGGUCAAAAGGGAAUCCUAGCCUCACCGUGUUCCUUUUAUUGAAAUGCGUUGGAAAUUAAGAAUAUGGUCACAAUUUCUUUAGUGUUAUUGUUUUUUCAUGAUCUUCAUCCUUGGUUUCCUAUAAAAAGAAAGGUAAUGCACUGAGGCUAUGAUGAUAUUUUUUACGGAAAGUUCAUACAUAUUGUUUUAAGGAACAAAUUGAUUGGUUAUUUGGCAAGGCAAUGAGGUGUUCUGUGCAAAAAGAAUUGAUGGCGUAUUAGUCCCUCUGUUUUCUGAUUUUUCCUGUUCUGGUCCCUUUAGAUAAUUGUUUUGCACAGAAUGCCUUUUACUGCAGCCAUGACUUCUCAUGUUCUUUACUUGUGAUCAUAUGGUCAAAGGGGAAUCCUAGCCUCACCGUGUUCCUUUUAUUGAAAUGCGUUGGAAAUUAAGAAUAUGAUAUGGUCACGAUUUCUUCAGUGUUAUUGUUUUUCUAUGAUCUUCAUCCUUGUAUUCCUAUAAAAAGAAAGGUAAUGCACUGAGGCUUAGAUGAUAUUUUUUAUGGAAAAUUUCAUACAUAUUGUUUUAAGGAACAAAUUGAUUGGUUAUUUGGCAAGGCAAUGAGGUGUUCUGUGCAAAAAGAAUUGAUGGCAUAUAUAGUCCCUCUGUUUUCUGAUUUUUCCUGUUUUGGUCCCUUUAAAUAAUUGUUUUGC